CUUAGCUCAGUUGGAUAGAGCACCGGCCUUCUAAGCCGUAGGUCACAGGUUCGAAUCCUGUA
RNAcentral lists this transfer RNA (62 nucleotides) under Pantoea conspicua. It matches the Rfam family "tRNA", at positions 7 to 64 of the family's 71-position model. Rfam says of the family: Transfer RNA (tRNA) molecules are approximately 80 nucleotides in length. Lineage: Bacteria; Pseudomonadati; Pseudomonadota; Gammaproteobacteria; Enterobacterales; Erwiniaceae. The record is from RNAcentral.